RNAcentral lists this transfer RNA (64 nucleotides) under Hycleus marcipoli. Its description in RNAcentral is "tRNA-Pro". RNAcentral also lists the same sequence under 1 other name. Lineage: Eukaryota; Metazoa; Arthropoda; Insecta; Coleoptera; Meloidae. The record is from RNAcentral.
CAGGAAAUAGUUUAUGAAAAAUAUUAAUUUUGGAGAUUAAAGAUGAGAAUUAUCUUUUUCCUGA